GAUGAACGCUGGCGGCGUGCCUAAUACAUGCAAGUCGAGCGAACAGACGAGGAGCUUGCUGCUCUGACGUUAGCGGCGGACGGGUGAGUAACACGUGGAUAACCUACCUAUAAUACUGGUAUAACUUCGGGAAACCGGAGCUAAUACCGGAUAAGAUUUUGAACCGCAUGGUUCAAUAGUGAAAUACGGUGUUGCUGUCACUUAUAGAUGGAUCCGCGCUGCAUUAGCUAGUUGUUAAGGUAACGGCUUACCAAGGCUACGAUGCGUAGACGACCGGAGAGGGGGAUAGGCCGCAUGGGAGCGGAGACACGGUCAAGGGUACUAAGGGAGGCAGCAGAAGGGUAUGUUCCGCAAUGGGCGAAAGCAUGACGGAGCAACGCCGAGUGAGUGAUGAAGGUGUUGGGAUCGUAAAAAUCUGUUAUUAGGGAAGAACAAAUGUGUAAGUAACUGUGCACGGAUUGACGGUAACGAAUCAGAAAGCCACGGCUAACUACGUG
RNAcentral lists this ribosomal RNA (497 nucleotides) under uncultured bacterium. RNAcentral's name for it is "partial 16S ribosomal RNA". It matches the Rfam family "Bacterial small subunit ribosomal RNA", at positions 28 to 507 of the family's 1533-position model. The record is from RNAcentral.